This 442-nucleotide ribosomal RNA is filed under the name uncultured bacterium. Its description in RNAcentral is "partial 16S ribosomal RNA". It matches the Rfam family "Bacterial small subunit ribosomal RNA", at positions 338 to 795 of the family's 1533-position model. The record is from RNAcentral.
CCUACGGGAGGCAGCAGUGGGGGAUAUUGGACAAUGGGGGGAACCCUGAUCCAGCGACGCCGCGUGAGUGAAGAAGUAUCUCGGUAUGUAAAGCUCUAUCAGCAGGGAAGAAGAAAUGACGGUACCUGAGUAAGAAGCCCCGGCUAACUACGUGCCAGCAGCCGCGGUAAUACGUAGGGGGCACGCGUUAUCCGGAAUUACUGGGUGUAAAGGGAGCGUAGACGGUGAUGUAAGUCUGGAGUGAAAGGCGGGGGCCCAACCCCCGGACUGCUCUGGAAACUAUGUGACUGGAGUGCAGGAGAGGUGAGCGGAAUUCCUAGUGUAGCGGUGAAAUGCGUAGAUAUUAGGAGGAACACCAGUGGCGAAGGCGGCCUGCUGGACGACAACUGACGGUGAGGCGCGAAAGCGUGGGGAGCAAACAGGAUUAGAUACCCGGGUAGUC